This 255-nucleotide ribosomal RNA is filed under the name uncultured archaeon. Its description in RNAcentral is "partial 16S ribosomal RNA". It matches the Rfam family "Archaeal small subunit ribosomal RNA", at positions 728 to 982 of the family's 1478-position model. The record is from RNAcentral.
AUUAGAUACCCCCGUAGUCCCAGCCGUAAACUAUGCUCGCUAGGUGUCAGGCAUGGCGCGACCGUGUCUGGUGCCGCAGGGAAGCCGUGAAGCGAGCCACCUGGGAAGUACGGCCGCAAGGCUGAAACUUAAAGGAAUUGGCGGGGGAGCACAACAACGGGUGGAGCCUGCGGUUUAAUUGGACUCAACGCCGGACAACUCACCGGGGACGACAGCAAUAUGUAGGCCAGGCUGAAGACCUUGCCUGAAUCGCUG